CCUACGGGGGGCAGCAGUGGGGAAUAUUUGACAAUGGGGGGAACCCUGAUCCAGCGACGCCGCGUGAGUGAAGAAGUAUUUCGGUAUGUAAAGCUCUAUCAGCAGGGAAGAAAGAAAUGACGGUACCUGACUAAGAAGCCCCGGCUAACUACGUGCCAGCAGCCGCGGUAAUACGUAGGGGGCAAGCGUUAUCCGGAUUUACUGGGUGUAAAGGGAGCGUAGACGGCGAUGCAAGUCUGAAGUGAAAGGCGGGGGCCCAACCCCUGGACUGCUUUGGAAACUGUAUGGCUGGAGUGCAGGGGAGGUAAGUGGAAUUCCUAGUGUAGCGGUGAAAUGCGUAGAUAUUAGGAGGAACACCAGUGGCGAAGGCGGCUUACUGGACUGUAACUGACGUUGAGGCUCGAAAGCGUGGGGAGCAAACAGGAUUAGAUACCCGUGUAGUC
RNAcentral lists this ribosomal RNA (443 nucleotides) under uncultured bacterium. RNAcentral's name for it is "partial 16S ribosomal RNA". It matches the Rfam family "Bacterial small subunit ribosomal RNA", at positions 338 to 795 of the family's 1533-position model. The record is from RNAcentral.